GAGCCCGUAGCUCAGCGGUAGAGCAUCUGACUUUUAAUCAGAGGGUCGUGGGAUCGUACCCCACCGGGCUCA
Molecule: transfer RNA, 72 nt
Organism: Reticulomyxa filosa
Lineage: Eukaryota; Foraminifera; Reticulomyxidae
Rfam family: tRNA
About the family: Transfer RNA (tRNA) molecules are approximately 80 nucleotides in length.
Source: Rfam